AAAUAAAACGAAGUGCUAUUAUUAAAGCGCACUCAAACACGUUCGAGCAAGGUGAGAAAGUAAAACGAAGUGCUAUUAUUAAAACGCAUUAAAACACACGUUCGAGCAAGGUGAGAAAGCAAAACGAAGUGCUAUUAUUAAAGCGCACUCAAACACGUUCGAGCAAAGUGAGAAAGUAAAACGAAGUAGUAGUAUUAAAGCGCACUCAAACACGUUCGAGCAAGGUGAGAAAGUAGAACGAAGUGCUAUUAUUAAAGCGCACGCAAACACACGUUCGAGCAAGGCGAGAAAGUACAAUGAAGUGCUGGCAUCAAAGCGCACGCAAACACACGCGCAGACACAAACGCUCAUGGACUUCACUUCACAAACCAAGACAUCAACAAAACAUCAACACACACAAGAUGUCAGGCACUCAUCUGUUGUAUAUUCUAUUCCAGAUUGGUAUUUUAUAAU
This is a long non-coding RNA of Haliotis rubra (blacklip abalone), 453 nucleotides long. RefSeq lists it as uncharacterized. The record is from RefSeq and is a predicted model, not a curated record. Lineage: Eukaryota; Metazoa; Mollusca; Gastropoda; Lepetellida; Haliotidae. The transcript has 3 exons.